Molecule: ribosomal RNA, 620 nt
Filed under: Epinephelus fasciatus (blacktip grouper)
Lineage: Eukaryota; Metazoa; Chordata; Actinopteri; Perciformes; Serranidae
Description: partial small subunit ribosomal RNA
Rfam family: Bacterial small subunit ribosomal RNA
Source: RNAcentral
AGUUGAUAGGCUCCGGCGUAAAGCGUGGUUAAGGAACAAGACACACUAAAGCCGAACGCUUACUAGGCUGUUAUACGCUUACGAAAGUAAGAAGCACAUCCACGAAGGUAGCUUUACUAUACCUGAACCCACGAAAGCCAAGAUACAAACUGGGAUUAGAUACCCCACUAUGCUUCGCCCUAAACAUUGAUAGCUUUAUACAACCCCUAUCCGCCUGGAAACUACGAGCAACAGCUUAAAACCCAAAGGACUUGGCGGUGCUUUAGACCCAUCUAGAGGAGCCUGUUCUAUAACCGAUUACCCCCGUUUAACCUCACCUUUCCUAGUCAACCCCGCCUAUAUACCGCCGUCGCCAGCUUACCCUGUGAAGGUCCCCUAGUAAGCUUAAUUGGUACAACCCAGAACGUCAGGUCGAGGUGUAGCGUAUGGAAAGGGAAGAAAUGGGCUACAUUCCCUGUCACAGCGAAUCACGAAUAAUAAUACUGAAACGUGUAUCUAGAAGGAGGAUUUAGCAGUAAGCAGAAAGCAGAGCGUUCCGCUGAAACUGGCCCUGAAGCGCGCACACACCGCCCGUCACUCUCUCCAAACAUAUUCUUAUGCUUUAACCUAAAACUUUCUAC